Molecule: RNA transcript, 3257 nt
Organism: Syngnathoides biaculeatus (alligator pipefish)
Lineage: Eukaryota; Metazoa; Chordata; Actinopteri; Syngnathiformes; Syngnathidae
Gene name: hepatic sodium/bile acid cotransporter-like
Exons: 6
Source: RefSeq, a predicted model, not a curated record
UCUUCCCCAACAGCUUGCAAGCUGCUGCUCCAGCAGCCUCGGGACUUUUAUGUAUGAUUUAAACGCUUCCUAAAGUUGCCAGCUAUCGACAUUUAGUAGUCAAGAUACCAAACUUGAAUUUGAUGGAAGGAUGGAUUUGUGCCUGCUGGCCGCUGAUAAACAGUCCCUUGUAGGGGCUGAUAAAGGCCCAUGGGAAGUCGAGUGUAGUUGCAAGACCACUGAGGCAAAUUGCGGCUUGUUUGACAAAAUAACGUGGCUCUUCUCUCACCGCAUAACUCGGCUCUUGUCUAUGAUUAUGAGGCCAGAUGGUGGCCUACCGAGCUCACUUUGAGUUGCCCUCCCCCACUCAUCAUCUAUGGCUGCGCGUGACCUUUAAUGGCAGCUUUCGAUCAUUGCUUAUAGUAUACGUGCAUCAAUACAUAUAAAAUGCGCAUGGUCUACUUUGCUAAUUUGCGGAAUGUCAUAAAAAUCCCAGGCGCAUUUGGUGCUUGAGCCUAACAAGUAACAACUUUUGCUCUGACUAACUAAUCAGAUUACAUCAAAAACCUUGGGAGGUUGAAUUGGAAAUCGGUGGUGAUGGGUCAAAGAAACCGUAUAUAAUGCGUAUGUACUUUAAAUUACAUUGGCCAUCACUUGUGAAUCUGAAGGCCCUGAGCAGAUUAGAUUGACAUAGCAACACAUAGGCUGAAAUCUGAUUAGACAAAAAAAAAAUAAAAUCCAAUGGCCACACAAAGUGCUGGAGGCAGUGCAGCCAAGAAAAAAAAAUCAGAAAUGCCGAGAGAAUCGGGGUGUCAAACUCAUUUUUGUCACGGACCACAUUGUAGUUACAGUCUCCCUCAGAGGGCCGUUAUGAAUGUGAAACCGUGAGAAUCUUUCACCUCAUCAUAUUUACAGAUGACUCCGCUGGUAAAGCGUUGGCCUCACAGUUCUGAGGUCCCGAGUUCAAUCCUGGACCCACCUGUGUGGAGUUUGCAUGUUCUCCCCGUGCCUGCCUGGGUUUCCUCCGGGCACUCCGGUUUCCUCCCACAUCCCAAAAAACAUGCAACAUUAAUUGGACAUUCUAAAUUGCCCCAAGGUGUGAUUCUGAAUGUGACUCUUUGUCUCUAUGUGCCCUGCGAUUUUCUGGCAACCGGUUCAGGGUGCACCCCACCUCCUGCCCGUUGACAACUGGGAUAGGCUCCAGCACUCCCCGCGACCCUCGUGAGGAUAAGUGGCAAAGAAAAUGGAUGGAUGGAUGGAUGGCCCCCAAUCCUUCUUUUUAAAAAAAGAAAAAACAGGGCAUUGUGACACCAUGUGUGGACCAUGCGGUUGAUGGGGACUGCUAAAACCACUAUUUAAAAUAUAAAAGAUGAAAUGUAAACUUAGAGCCACGUCGAGUUUUACCUGUCAGUCAAAUGAUGCUGAAAAUUAGUUUGGUGAAGUCAACUACUGCUUCAAUAUUGAUAACACAUUGCACUCUAGUCAUGGUUAAUAAACAGUUAAGUUUCCUGUGUGUGAACCCAGAAAUCCAGCACUGACAUCCGCGUGGUCCAAAACAUGAGAAGCAUUGAAAUUUUGGUCCUUUCAAUUUGCGCCUAAUCUCCACCAUGCUAGUAGAGCGUAAGCAAUAACCUUGUUAGAACUCUUUGGUCUCAUUAUGCGAGUCGUAAAUAAUGUGUUUGUUUACUAAAGGAACUCCUUCAAAAGACCAAGAGGAGGUCAUCUGCCAAGUUCUACAGUGUACUGUAUCUGUAGAGUUGCGUAACAAUAAACGGGCCUCUGUGCGCACAUGUGCCUCUUGCAGACCAAUGUGAUGAAACUGUAGCGCUAAUUAGAUUAUUUCUUUUCACGUUGCCCUCCAGAGCUAAAUGUUUCCAUGGUGUUUUCAUGAACAGGAAAUCAAGGCAGGAGCCUCAUGCAGACUUCCCGAAGCCCGUCUCCACUGAACAGAGUUCCAAGGAAUUUUCUAAGGGGGAUGAAAACAAACCAGUUGCGUAGCUAUGGGGUCACGUUUUUUUUUUUUUCCCUGCAGUUUGCAGCAGCGCCACCAUGUUGCCAUGGAGCCACAUGACAGAGGAAGGAGGGUUCUAGGUCUGGCCACAAAAGAAGAGGAGUUAACAGGGGGAAUGUGCAGGGAUGCAAACACGAAAGUUUGAAGCUUGGAUUAGUUCGAAGCAUUCUGUUGAGCUCCACGAUGAAUGUGACAGACCUUUACAAAGAAGUGAACAUGUCUGCCAAUGGGAGCACAAGGACACUGAACAUCCCCCCACCACUCAACAAUACUAUCAACAUCCUCACCAUCAUCAUCCUCUUCAUCACCAUGAUAUCCCUCGGGUGCACAAUGGAGAUCUCCAAAAUCAAGAGCCAUCUGCUCAAGCCCAGGGGGGUGGCCAUCGCCAUGGUGACCCAGUUCGGCGUCAUGCCUCUGACUGCUUUCGUGCUCGCCAAAUCGCUGAAGAUGGAUUCUGUCAAGGCGGUGACUGUGCUCAUAUGUGGCUGCUGCCCCGGAGGAAACCUGUCCAACAUCUUCACCUUGGCCCUCAAGGGGGACAUGAACCUCAGUAUUGUGAUGACCACGUGCUCCUGCAUUGCAGCUCUGGGUCUGAUGCCCCUGCUACUUUUGAUCUACUGCCAAGGCUUCAGCGGCUUGGAGAACGCGGUGCCCUACUUUGGCAUCAUCAGCGCUCUCACCUUCACCCUGGCGCCCUGCGGCGUGGGCAUCGUGCUCAAUCACUACAAACCAAAAUAUACACCAUUCUUCCUGAAAGUAACUUGGUUUGAGCAUCCUGAUCCUCUCCAGCAUCGUUGUGUUCUCUUUGUGCGGCGUGGCCGUCAAAGACGUGCUGUGGAUGAUCCUGACCGCCGACGUCGUUGCCGUGGCGGCUCUGAUGCCCCUCAUAGGUUUCACGCUGGGAUACGCCAUGUCCGCCAUAUGCGGACUCAGCCCGAAAUGCAGCAGGACUGUCUCUGUGGAAACGGGGUGUCAGAACAUCCAACUGUGCGUGGCCAUCUUGAAAGUGGCCUUUCCUCCAGAGGUCAUCGGUCCCAUGUUCCUCUUCCCUUUGCUUUACUACGCAUUCCAGUGUGCUGAGGCUCUUCUCCUGACCACGUGCUUCAGAUGUUACCAAAUGGUCAAGACACCAACUGAGGAAACAAGAAUAUACACGAAUGUCAAUGUGAAACAAGAGGAAGGGAAACAGCCGCAGUGUCUUGGAAGCUUGGAGGAAAAUAACCAAACAUGAUCAAACUCAUGGACUUCACUUUGGAUCAACUAUUAG